CAUGCACUUGGAAGAGCUUUCAAUAAAAAGUGCGGUUCCAUUAAAACAUUGGGCCUUUCAGGAUUUAUUCAUCUGAAACAAUUACGCAUUGAGCAUUGCGACAGCCUAGUUGAAAUUAAGGGCUGUGAUAAUUUGGAGUCCUUGGAAGUCAUAUUUUUAUAUUUUUGCAAGUGUUUGAAGAAAUUCAAGGCUUCUAGGUGCGGCAAUCUAAUUGAAAUUCAAGGUCUUGAUGGUGCGAAGUCCUUAGAAGAGUUGGAUUUUACAGGAUGCAAAUCAAUGGAGACUUUGCCAGAUUUGAUAGGAUGUGUGAAGUUACGAUCUCUAAGAGUUCGAGACUGCAAGAAACUUACACGGCUUCAGGGACUUGAAAAGUUGAAUUUAGUUGAUUUGGAUAUUUCUGGUUGUGACUCCUUGGAAGCAACACCGAACUUAUCUGGAACUCGCAUCUUUAGAAAUUAUGAACAAGAGCUGUCUUUUGAUUCAUGGAGUGAUGUUUCCUGAAUAGAGAGGAAGCUACUGCGACAACUGAGGACCAUCUUGCGUGCCAACCUUGAAGAUGCUCUGGGGCUGACUGGAGUGUUACAAGGAAGUUUUGAUGCUUCUGAAUAUUCAAACACUUGAUCUGAUCUCAACGCCACAUCCCUGAAUGAUUGUAAAUAGUUGUCCGAUGCGGUUACAUUCUAAUGGUAUCACUCCCGAAUUGAUAAGGCUUUGUAGAGGGAGACUAAAGCUGCAUUUGAUGAAACUUGGAGAAAGUCCCCAGACACCAUGGGUUGGAGAUACGGGCAAGAAUGAGCUAUGUCAGUAUAGAAAGACAUUUUGGAGUUUUUUGCUAUUGGCGUUUGUCAUUGGCUCUGUGUUGUUAUUACUCUUCAAAGGAUUCUUGAUAUAAGGCGACCUCUUCUCAUGUGGUGUAUUAGUCCUUCGCAAGCUUUGAAAUUGUGCUACUCUUUAGCAAAGGCUGCAUCACAAUCGCUUGGAGGUAGCAACGGCUGCAUCAUAAAUCACUUGGAGGAAGACCGCAUGUGUAGACGGUUCUAUAUGUGGAGUCAAGCUUAAAAUGAGAGUUGCUGACAAGAUUACCAUUUAGAUGUCCACUUUAAGCUACAGUUUUGUGACUGGGAGGGACUUUUUUUGUGGAAAAAGCAAAUGCCAAGAGAUCAGCAAAUAAUCUGUAAAUUGCAGCCAAGAGUUUCAAUGAACAGCUUUCCAAGAAGACAGGAGUUUCCCAUUUGGAAUAAUUUUGAACACAAAAGAAUGGCAUUCAUUAGUGUAAAAUCAUCUCUUUGGUCCAGUUAUGUUGGAAUAUUCAUAUGUAGGCAUUUUUGCAAUCACUUUGGCGUGUAAUCUCAAACUUGAUUUGUUUAAGCAUGAAUCUAAAAGCAGAAGAGACACAGCCAUGUACAUUUUCAUACCUAAAAUCAAGUAGAGAGACUAGUUCGUUCUUGAAGAGCAGCAUUACUUUCUCCUU
This is a long non-coding RNA of Eucalyptus grandis, 1471 nucleotides long. RefSeq lists it as uncharacterized. The record is from RefSeq and is a predicted model, not a curated record. The transcript is spliced from 4 exons. NCBI's taxonomy places the organism in Eukaryota, Viridiplantae, Streptophyta, Magnoliopsida, Myrtales, Myrtaceae.